UACGUAGGCGGCAAGCGUUGUCCGGAUUUACUGGGCGUAAAGGAUGCGUAGGCGGACAUUUAAGUCAGAUGUGAAAUACCCGAGCUCAACUUGGGUGCUGCAUUUGAAACUGGAUGUCUAGAGUGCAGGAGAGGUAAGUGGAAUUCCUAGUGUAGCGGUGAAAUGCGUAGAGAUUAGGAAGAACACCAGUGGCGAAGGCGACUUACUGGACUGUAACUGACGCUGAGGCAUGAAAGCGUGGGGAGCAAACAGG
RNAcentral lists this ribosomal RNA (253 nucleotides) under uncultured bacterium. RNAcentral describes it as "partial 16S ribosomal RNA". It matches the Rfam family "Bacterial small subunit ribosomal RNA", at positions 524 to 776 of the family's 1533-position model. The record is from RNAcentral.